UGACAAUAUUUGUGCUUUCCCGGUGAUGUGUGAAUCAUGAGUUUAAACAGCAGUUCCCAUGGAAGAGAUCACAGGAAGAAACUAAACCAGAGCAUGCCUCAGCCCAGUGAUGACAUCAGAGAAGCCUCAGGCACAUCAUCCAAUCUCUGAGUACUGCUUUUCUACUAUGGGGAGAGAAAAUGAAGACAUGUGAGUUCCCUCAAAGGGCUAACAGCAGUCUCUGAGAAGACGAAUUGAAGAAACAUUUUCUUUACCAGCUCAGGCAGGUGACAGAUGCAAUUGAAUUCACUUGUUUAGGUUUCUGCCUCCUCCACCUUUCAUCCGCUGGCAACACGAGUGUGUCUCAGCUCUCACAGGGCCACACUCAGUUCAGUCUGCAGGCCACAGUUCAGUCUGCAGGCCAUGUUGGGAUCUGCUUCUCCAGGGAUCGGCCAGAGACCUCUGAGGCUCUCAGUCCUUUCUUCUACAGCUACUGUCUUCCCCGGACUCCUGAGAAAUUCCUCCAGACCUUGUACUCUCCCACACUACUUGUCAACUCCCCCCUCCACCUCUUGGAACCCCAAUCACCAAAGUUUAAC
Molecule: long non-coding RNA, 578 nt
Filed under: Callithrix jacchus (white-tufted-ear marmoset)
Lineage: Eukaryota; Metazoa; Chordata; Mammalia; Primates; Cebidae
Description: lncRNA (ENSCJAG00000073799.1)
Source: RNAcentral